UACAGAGGUCCCAAGCGUUGUUCGGAUUCACUGGGCGUAAAGGGUGCGUAGGUGGUUGGGUAAGUCUGAUGUGAAAUCUCUGGGCUCAACCCAGAAAUGGCAUUGGAUACUAUUCGGCUAGAGGAAUGGAGGGGAGACUGGAAUACUUGGUGUAGCAGUGAAAUGCGUAGAUAUCAAGUGGAACACCAGUGGCGAAGGCGAGUCUCUGGACAUUUCCUGACGCUGAGGCACGAAAGCCAGGGGAGCAAACGGG
RNAcentral lists this ribosomal RNA (253 nucleotides) under uncultured prokaryote. RNAcentral describes it as "partial 16S ribosomal RNA". It matches the Rfam family "Bacterial small subunit ribosomal RNA", at positions 524 to 776 of the family's 1533-position model. The record is from RNAcentral.